RNAcentral lists this ribosomal RNA (372 nucleotides) under Triticum aestivum (bread wheat). Its description in RNAcentral is "partial small subunit ribosomal RNA". The record is from RNAcentral. Lineage: Eukaryota; Viridiplantae; Streptophyta; Magnoliopsida; Poales; Poaceae.
CUCUGGACCGAUCACUGGAUCCAGGAACAGUGCGUGGCCGAGUUUGCACCGGCGAUCCUUGCCCUCGUGCCCAAACGACGCCGGAAAGCCCGCUGUGUGGCGGACGGCCUGCAUCUUCGCUCUUGGACCCAGGACAUUCAAGGGGCUCUUGGCCCCGUGGCGGCUCUUCAGUACUUGGAGCUUUGGCGUCGCGUCCGCGACAUCCCCCUCUCCUUCGCUCCUGACGCCAUCCGCUGGCGGUGGACGGCUUCGGGCAUAUACUCUGCCAAGCCCUGCUAUGAUGCCCUCUUUCUUGGUUCCAUCUCGGCGCUGCACGCCAAACUGAUAUGGAAACGUGGGCUCCGCUAUGCUACAAGGUCUUCAUCUGGCUAG